Molecule: non-coding RNA, 695 nt
Organism: Lactuca sativa (garden lettuce)
Lineage: Eukaryota; Viridiplantae; Streptophyta; Magnoliopsida; Asterales; Asteraceae
Source: RefSeq, a predicted model, not a curated record
CCUAAUUUUGAGAGGCUAUUUUGGGGAAAAAUUGGAUACACUCAUAUCAAAAGAAAAAGAGGAAGAACGACAAACACAGAAGACCAUGCCGGAGUUAUGGAUUCGACUUCCCCACUUGCCUACCCCUUUUUAAACUACAACAUAGUUACCUUUUAUGCUUAAACCCCUAUACAUAAGCAUCCUCUCUUCUAGCCAUGUGAAACUAUAACAUCACAGGAUAACAAUCGACCGGAUAUACCAACUACUUACAAUUACCUGUUACCACCAUACACUGCCUCCUAAAUGUAAUCUUCAACACCAUAGAGGUUCGACAUAAAUACCUUCUGUUCUAUUCGCCACCCUCCAGAUUUUGUUGCAGGUGUAAUCAGCACCAUCAUACAACAAUGGCAUUCCAUUGCUCUGUUAUUGGACCUAUGUGACAUGGAUCUGUCAGGAUUUCAACAGCUUCAAAUUGAUUUCAAGAUGAAGAAUAUAGACAUGCAAGUCAAUCUUUAUUCAUCAGUUUAAAAAAUACUUCAAUUAUCAUCUUCAUUUAAAAAUCUGUUUAUCCCUGUUUUGGCCUAUUAUUGACCUUUCUUCCAAUAUUUGCAAUUUGGGUGAUUCCGGACCUGUCUUUCAAUAUAUGGAGCAUUUAUCUUCUGUACAAGAAACUAUGUAAUUUGUUCUAUCAAAUCUAUUUAUUCCUUUUUCUUGUA